RNAcentral lists this long non-coding RNA (4127 nucleotides) under Citrus maxima (pomelo). RNAcentral describes it as "long non-coding RNA (CMAX_LNC001174)". Lineage: Eukaryota; Viridiplantae; Streptophyta; Magnoliopsida; Sapindales; Rutaceae. The record is from RNAcentral.
GGCAUAUGUUCUAGUUAAAGAACAAACAGAAACAGAGUUCAGGAAAAAGUUUCUUCGGCCACCAUAUUUGAAAAUGAAACCAUUUCCAGGAAGCAGUUGGCAGCAAAUUCAUAUGGAGUGUAGACAAUGAUGAGCAAAAAGGUGAUUCGCAAUUUCUUUUUUUUUUAAGUGAAAUUAUUUGUUAGAUUGAAGCUGAUAUUGUAAGAAGGCCAUUGAGCUAACCUAUGUCGUCACUUGCCUAGAUUGCAGGGGGUCAAGACUCAAAAGAAGCACUGAAAUUUAAAAAGCAUGGAAUAGUUCUUUUGCCAUGUGUCAAUUAAUGCAAGUUUGAAUAAGUUUAUUGGCUGAACGAUGUUAGCUUCUUUUCCUUUCGUGCACUUUGGUAUGCUAUCAAGUGACAGCCGUAUGUAUGGCUUGCAUAUAGCUGCUGCUGGGAAAAUUGACGAUUUCAUGGCUGGCCGUGUUAUUGUCUUAAAUUAGUUGUGAUAAGCUGUUGCUUGGAGAUUCUGUUGCCAAGACUUUGCUCACAUCAGAAGCUGUGGAAUCUGAACCCUUCGUUAUGUAUCAUCUUUUUCAUUGUUUUAAAACUCUCAGGAUUAAACUUGAGCGAAUUUGUUCGGUUGUCUAUAUAAUCAUGUAUUGAGUAAACUCUCAGGAUACUGAGGGUGAGAGAAAUUAGAGGGUGUAUAGGGAUUUGGAUUUGUUAGGAAGUUAUCAUUUUUAUUUUUAUUUUUAUUUUUUUCCCAGAAAAUCUUCUGGUGGUGCUAUAUUUUCAAACGACAGUCCGAUUCAAAACUUGAUAUUCCAAUUAUAUUCAUAAGCUUCUACAGUUAUCUUCAAAAAGACAAAUGGAAGGCUUUGAACGGCUUGGGUCUGAGUAUUGUAGUUUGAUUUAUUUUGAUGAAAGUACCUUUUGACAUUGAGAUUCUUUCAUGAGUUAAACAUUCUUUUUAAAACCAACUUAUUAAAAAAAAAAAGUAACUAACAUAUAUUAUUUUGUUAGUGCUUUUUAAAUCAAAUAUAAAAAAGAGAACUGUAAUUCUUAGCAACCAAUUUUUCACUGAGUACACCUACAACAAACUAUUAAAAAAUAAAGUGAUAGAAAAUGCCUGAUUUUUCGUACUUUCUAAUUACUUUUGGUCCUAAAAUAUGGCAAUUUGUGUAAUAAUAAGCCCAUGUAUAUCUUUAUGCCAUUAGUUUGAUAAAUAGCUAUCAAGGAUAACUUAUUAAGCUAAAAAUAUUUGAAGGAUAAAUUGAUUUAUGCAUCCAAAGAUACAUUAUAUAUUUCUGUGUCUCUAUUUAUAGAUGACAUUUAAGCAUCCAUAAACCGUCAGACAGAGGAAGGGGGUUCAGUGCAAAGAUUCUGUUGACCUAGGGUUGACUGCAUAAUGUCACUUGUUCGCAAUCUAUUAUUUAUUUUAUAUUUUGAAGAAUUUAAUGGGUAAUCCUAAUUGUUUGUUUUGGCAGGUAUGUGUUGUUAUCUCCUUCUAUCUAACAGUCGUACCUAAAUAGCAUAGUUUCAUCUGUGUUACCAUGUGAUGUACAUAAUUUCACAUUUGCCUCAGAUUAAGCUUAAUUUCCCACAGAAUAGAGCUGUCGUGACUGGACUUAGGUUGAUGUCCAAAGAGGUAAAUUAUUGGCAUGCCUAGAUAAUUUGGCCAUUUCCUAAUUCAUAAGUCUACAUUAAUUUUGAUUUUGAGUUGACUGAUUUCUUUUCAAGGUCUGCUUCCUUAACGGAGUGACCAAUGUUUUUCAACUAAAUUUAUCAUAUGAUGCAGGAAGCAGGGCAGGAUAUGAAAUGAGAUCUCAUUGGUGGAAGUAUUGCCAGUAGCAGAACCCAAUGAAAAUGAAACUAUUUCAAGGCAGCAGUUGGCAGUUGCAAGUGAAUGGAGGCCCUUGACAAAAUUCUCAAGCGGUUGCAAUGAUGGUAAUUUCUUCUCCUGCUUUGUAUUUAUUUGUUAUCUAAUUAGGAAGCGUGAAGUAUCUUGAAUCAUUUUCUGUAUCUGGAAUAUAUGCAAGAGUUUCUAAAAUUUUGAUAUGAGUGUAAUGAUGGUAAUUUCUGUUUUCUGUCUGUCAUCAAAUGUUAGAAAACUUUCAUUGAGACCCUUGAACCGAGUCAUUUUUGACAAGUGAAGGACAAUUGCUGAAGAGUGGGAAUGGUGCUAGAUUGGGGAAUAAAGACAAAGGAGGUAAAUUAUUUGCAGUUUAUUCAGCAUUAUUUGCUUUGGACCACCGCCUGAUUCACAAGUCUCCAUAAUUUGGCUUUUGACCAGUUAAUAAAUUUUUAAUUCCAUUGGUGCUAAAUGUACACGUGAAGCAGGCAGAGCAGGACUGUGGAAAUGAGAAGGUUUUUAGUGAAAGCUUAAACUCAGGUAAUUCUAAAAAGUACAUGUUUUUGCUGAUUUAUCUAAAUCAGGAAAUUUUAUUUCCAUCUGUUACAAGAUAAAACAGAAACAGAACACAAAGAAAAAUAUUCUACUUCUUGUGGCAAUCUUGCCUUCAUUCAGACAAUGAAACCAUUUCCUUUCACCAAUUUCUUCCAAAAGUUUGAAUAAGUUUCAUGGUUGGACAUAGUUAGCUUCUUUUUCUUUUUGGUGCAUUUAGGUCCUAUCAAGUGACAGCCAUAAGUAUGAUUGCAUUAUUGGGAAAUUUUAGGUUUGGAUGGCUCCCCAUGUUAUUGCCAAGAAAGUCCUCAUGUCAGAAGCUGCGGUUCUUUUCAUCAGCCUGAACCCGAACCUGUCGUUAUGGAUAACUCAGGUUUUUGUCAUCAACUAUAUCAUCUUUUUUACUGUUUUGAAACUCUUAAGAUUAAACUUCAGUAAAGUUGUUUCAGUUAUCCAUGUAAUCAGGCUAAGGAUAUUUAGCAGCUUAUUUAGGCAACUGCCAGAAUUCAGUUUGUUUGCUCGAAACUUGUAUGGUGACAAGGAUACUGGCAAGGAUAGUGAGAUAGUUUUUUGUGUGAGUGAAAUUUGAAAGCUUGGGUGUUCUGGGAUUUGCAAUUGCAAUCAUCCUCUGAGUCAGGUGAUUUCUUCUCCUGCUCUGUCUUGAUUUUCUCUCUAAUUGAAAGCAUAAAGUAUUUCAAUCAAAUUCUGUACCAGGAAUACGUAAAAGUUACUAAUAUUUUAUUUCCAUCUGUUUGCAUUGAUAACUCGGCGGCAUAUGUUCUAGUUAAAGAACAAACAGAAACAGAGUUCAGGAAAAAGUUUCUUCGGCCACCAUAUUUGAAAAUGAAACCAUUUCCAGGAAGCAGUUGGCAGCAAAUUCAUAUGGAGUGUAGACAAUGAUGAGCGAAAAGGUGAUACGCAAUUUCUUUUUUUUUUUUUUUAAGUGAAAUUAUUUGUUAGAUUGAAGCUGAUAUUGUAAGAAGGCCAUUGAGCUAACCUAUGUCGCCACUUGCCUAGAUUGCAGGGGGUCAAGACUCAAAAGAAGCACUGAAAUUUAAAAAAGCAUGCAAUAGUUCUUUUGCCAUGUGUCAAUUAAUGCAAGUUUGAAUAAGUUUAUUGGCUGAACGAUGUUAGCUUCUUUUCCUUUCGUGCACUUUGGUAUGCUAUCAAGUGACAGCCGUAUGUAUGGCUUGCGUAUAGCUGCUGCUGGGAAAAUUGACGAUUUCAUGGCUGGCCGUGUUAUUGUCUUAAAUUAGUUGUGAUAAGCUGUUGCUUGGAGAUUCUGUUGCCAAGACUUUGCUCACAUCAGAAGCUGUGGAAUCUGAACCCUUCGUUAUGUAUCAUCUUUUUCAUUGUUUUAAAACUCUCAGGAUUAAACUUGAGCGAAUUUGUUCGGUUGUCUAUAUAAUCAUGUAUUGAGUAACCUCUCAGGAUACUGAGCAGGCAAAUGUUAUAACUCGGUUUGUUAGCCAAAAACUUGUUGAAGAUUCUUGACAAAGCUGCAUCAAGUGAAUUGUCGGAGCUCUGAGGGUGAGAGAAAUUAGAGGGUGUAUAGGGAUUUGGAUUUGUUAGGAAGUUAUCAUUUUUAUUUUUAUUUUUAUUUUUUUCACAGAAAAUCUUCUGGUGGUGCUAUAUUUUCAAACGACAGUCCGAUUCAAAACUUGAUAUUCCAAUUAUAUUCAUAAGCUUCUACAGUUAUCUUCAAAAAGACAAAUGGAAGGCUUUGAACGGCUUGGGUCUGAG